AAGUCGUAACAAGGUAACCGUAGGUGAACCUGCGGUUGGAUCAUUAACAAAAAGAUAGGGGUCAGACCUUAAACCGUCUGGCCUUUAUAAACCCCUGUGCACUUGUAAUGUUUGAGGCAAGGUCAAAUUGGAGACCCAGUAGGGUCUUUGGGAGAGUUGAAGGCAACGCGUUCACUCCCCCCCUUGCCUCUGCAUCAACAUUUAACAUGUAUAUCUUGAGCUAGUUUAUUUAUUAUAUUAAUAUCUAACAACUUUUGACAACGGAUCUCUAGGCUCUC
RNAcentral lists this unclassified non-coding RNA (278 nucleotides) under fungal sp. Its description in RNAcentral is "partial internal transcribed spacer region". The stretch from base 1 to 46 matches the Rfam family "Eukaryotic small subunit ribosomal RNA", at positions 1786 to 1831 of the family's 1831-position model. The record is from RNAcentral. Lineage: Eukaryota; Fungi.